RNAcentral lists this unclassified non-coding RNA (245 nucleotides) under Hevea brasiliensis (rubber tree). The record is from RNAcentral. Lineage: Eukaryota; Viridiplantae; Streptophyta; Magnoliopsida; Malpighiales; Euphorbiaceae.
GGGGUUUAUGAAUGAUCUCGCAACAGUGACAAACGAUGGUUCGGAUCUAAAUCGGGUUAUUUCGACCCCUUUUGAAGUACAAAUUGGGCUUCCAUGUUGAAAAGCUUUGGACAGAUAAUAAUGGGCUGCACAUGACAUUUCUCGGUAGACUCUUGAAAUGGGUCCAGACUCAAGACCACAAAUUGGAGAUCCAUUUCAGAACAAAGUUUCGUCUUUUUAGUUUUUUGGUGUUUCAGAAACCCUAA